GACGAACGCUGGCGGCGUGCUUAACACAUGCAAGUCGAGCGGUAAGGCCCUUUCGGGGGUACACGAGCGGCGAACGGGUGAGUAACACGUGGGUGACCUGCCCUCAGCUCUGGGAUAAGCCUGGGAAACCGGGUCUAAUACUGGAUAUGACUCCAUGACGCAUGUUGUGGGGUGGAAAGCCUUGUGCGGCUGAGGAUGGGCCCGCGGCCUAUCAGCUUGUUGGUGGGGGAUGGCCUACCAAGGCGACGACGGGUAGCCGGCCUGAGAGGGCGACCGGCCACACUGGAACUGAGACACGGCCCAGACUCCUACGGGAGGCAGCAGUGGGGAAUCUUGCGCAAUGGGCGAAAGCCUGACGCAGCGACGCCGCGUGAGGGAUGACGGCCU
RNAcentral lists this ribosomal RNA (387 nucleotides) under uncultured bacterium. Its description in RNAcentral is "bacterial SSU rRNA". It matches the Rfam family "Bacterial small subunit ribosomal RNA", at positions 28 to 417 of the family's 1533-position model. The record is from RNAcentral.